RNAcentral lists this long non-coding RNA (238 nucleotides) under Phascolarctos cinereus (koala). RNAcentral's name for it is "lncRNA (ENSPCIG00000000371.2)". The record is from RNAcentral. Lineage: Eukaryota; Metazoa; Chordata; Mammalia; Diprotodontia; Phascolarctidae.
GUCAUAUCAUUGAUCUUUCAUUUAUUUUCUCUGAUCCUCACCAUCUAUCUCCAUCAAGAGCAAAGGAGGAAAGAUCAAAGAAGGGGGAAUGUACACUUAAUCAUCUGGAUUCUUCAAGUUCAUCAUUCAGCAAUCUUUAUCAUUAGUGAGUCAUUUCUUGACCUUUACAACUGGUUCUUCUGGGCUGAUUGGAAAAAACCACCUGUAUGAAGUAUCACUAGGAAGGUUCACAGAACGG